AUGAGGGUUCCAGAGAAGAGGAAGGUCAGAUGGGAGGAGGGAAGCAUAACUAAGGGGUACAGGGAGCCAAUUGGACAAAGUCUAGGCAUAAAGACCAAUCACCAAGCAAACAAAACAACAAAAAAAGAGAUCUCCUCAUCAGUGCCUGGCCCUACCACCAUCCAACUCAGCUGUCAACAGUCCCCACUCUGGCCAUUUCCAGCUUUUCCAAUGUGUAGAGUAUUAUAUUCUAGCCAGGGGAGACAUGUACAUAUACAGAGAGAAAAUGUAUUUCCAAUAGCAACAGCAACAAGGUCAGGUCAGUUCUCCAAGAUAAUGAGACAAGACAAAUUUUGCAGAUAUGAGAUGUACAAAAAUCAAGCAACAGGCCUUGGAGGAAUGACACACCUAUUGAGACUGUUGGAAAGAUCUGAAGGAAGGAAAAAUUCUAAAGAAAUUCCUUGA
Molecule: long non-coding RNA, 444 nt
Filed under: Monodelphis domestica (gray short-tailed opossum)
Lineage: Eukaryota; Metazoa; Chordata; Mammalia; Didelphimorphia; Didelphidae
Description: lncRNA (ENSMODG00000049343.1)
Source: RNAcentral